GCGCCCGUGGCCUAAUGGAUAAGGCGUUUGACUUCUAAUCAAACGAUUGUGGUUCGAGUGCCACCGGGCGUG
Molecule: transfer RNA, 72 nt
Filed under: Brassica oleracea var. oleracea
Lineage: Eukaryota; Viridiplantae; Streptophyta; Magnoliopsida; Brassicales; Brassicaceae
Rfam family: tRNA
About the family: Transfer RNA (tRNA) molecules are approximately 80 nucleotides in length. Their secondary structure includes four short double-helical elements and three loops (D, anti-codon, and T loops).
Source: Rfam by way of RNAcentral